CCUGCAUUGGAAGUGCGGAGUCUCAACCGCUGGACUGCCAGAAUUUGGAGGCCCUACCAAGAUAGCUCAACUCAUGACAGCCUACCAGAGUGAAGCAAGAACAGCUCUGAGUCAAGUUAUACCACAUCAAGUAUGACACUGAAAACGUGGAGAGGAAGUUUGGAGCCAGAGUACUGGAUUUCCCUGUAGUUUGGGCAAUUACGUCGAAUGUCCCUACCCCUGCCACUCCUGUAAGCGCCUGGAAAGGUCAUUUGAUGUUGGAAGGAUGUCAUAGGACUGGAGAAAAGAUGAUAUGAUUGUCUAUGUGGAAAACCCCAAAGAAUUGACCAAAAAACUCCUGGAACUAAUAAGAGAUUUUAGCAAGGUUGCAGGAGA
Lagenorhynchus albirostris (white-beaked dolphin) is the source of this 375-nucleotide long non-coding RNA. RefSeq lists it as uncharacterized. NCBI's taxonomy places the organism in Eukaryota, Metazoa, Chordata, Mammalia, Artiodactyla, Delphinidae. The transcript is spliced from 3 exons. The record is from RefSeq and is a predicted model, not a curated record.